AUUUCUCCUACAUACCAAGGAACAAGUGCAGAGGUAAGAACUGCAAUCAUAAUUUCAUAAUUUAAUUCUUACAACCUUCAGCAACUCCCAAGCUCUCUCUCUCUAAAAAAAAAAAACGCCACUGCCCAUGUAAGUUUGGAACUUUGAAAUUCUUUCAUUUCUUCCUUGUCUCUCUUGCAAAUUUUGAAUAAAGCAACAUCUGAAAUUCUUGUACAACUCCAUUCACAGAAGCUUAGUAAACAACAACAAAUACAACAACAAACACCAGCCGAAACCUCACCAAAAGGCUUUGAGCAUCAGGAGGAUUAGCACUGCUAUUCCGAUUCAGAGAUAACGUUAAACGACAGGCUUUGCCUAGACAGGUUAAUGGCUGGUGAUGACGGGGCAGAGCUGAGGCUAGAGUUCAACUCCUUAUUUUAAUUUCCGCUGCAGAACUAGCC
Salvia miltiorrhiza (redroot sage) is the source of this 440-nucleotide long non-coding RNA. RefSeq lists it as uncharacterized. The record is from RefSeq and is a predicted model, not a curated record. The transcript has 3 exons. NCBI's taxonomy places the organism in Eukaryota, Viridiplantae, Streptophyta, Magnoliopsida, Lamiales, Lamiaceae.